AAAGGAAUAGACGGGGGCCCGCACAAGCGGUGGAGCAUGUGGUUUAAUUCGAAGCUACGCGAAGAACCUUACCAGGGCUUGACAUCCCCUGACCGUCGUGGAAACACGACUUCUCUUCGGAGCAGGGAGACAGGUGGUGCAUGGUUGUCGUCAGCUCGUGUCGUGAGAUGUUGGGUUAAGUCCCGCAACGAGCGCAACCCCUACUCUGUGUUGCCAGCAUUUAAAGAUGGGGACUCACAGAGGACUGCCGGUGACAAACCGGAGGAAGGUGGGGAUGACGUCAAAUCAUCAUGCCCCUUAUGUCCUGGGCUACACACGUGCUACAAUGGCCGGCACAGACGGACGCCAACCCGCGAGGGGGAGCCGAUCCGAUAAAACCGGUCUCAGUUCGGAUUGCAGGCUGCAACUCGCCUGCAUGAAGUCGGAAUCGCUAGUAAUCGCAGGUCAGCAUACUGCGGUGAAUACGUUCCCGGGCCUUGUACACACCGCCCGU
This 493-nucleotide ribosomal RNA is filed under the name uncultured bacterium. RNAcentral describes it as "bacterial SSU rRNA". It matches the Rfam family "Bacterial small subunit ribosomal RNA", at positions 903 to 1397 of the family's 1533-position model. The record is from RNAcentral.